CCAAUAGCGUAUAUUAAAGUUGUUGCAGUUAAAAAGCUCGUAGUUGAAUUUCGGGAUCAAUAUGCCGGUCAUGCCUUGGUAUGCACUGGUAUCUUUGAUUUCUCCCUUCUGACGAACUUUGAUGUCAUUAAUUUGGUGUCAUAGGGAAUCAGGACUGUUACUUUGAAAAAAUUAGAGUGUUUAAAGCAGGCUCACGCUUGAAUACAUUAGCAUGGAAUAAUGAAAUAGGACGUUUGAUUCUAUUUUGUUGGUUUCUAGGAUCGACGUAAUGAUUAAUAGGGAUAGUUGGGGGCAUUAGUAUUCAAUUGUCAGAGGUGAAAUUCUUGGAUUUAUUGAAGACUAACUACUGCGAAAGCAUUUGCCAAGGAUGUUUUCAUUAAUCAAGAACGAAAGUUAGGGGAUCGAAGACGAUCAGAUACCGUCGUAGUCUUAACCAUAAACUAUGCCGACUAGGGAUCGGAUGAUGCUAAUUUUUUAAUGACUCAUUCGGCGCCUUACG
Molecule: ribosomal RNA, 499 nt
Filed under: uncultured Glomeromycotina
Lineage: Eukaryota; Fungi; Glomeromycota
Description: partial small subunit ribosomal RNA
Rfam family: Eukaryotic small subunit ribosomal RNA
Source: RNAcentral